Camelus ferus (Wild Bactrian camel) is the source of this 74-nucleotide transfer RNA. It matches the Rfam family "tRNA". Rfam says of the family: Transfer RNA (tRNA) molecules are approximately 80 nucleotides in length. The record is from Rfam. Lineage: Eukaryota; Metazoa; Chordata; Mammalia; Artiodactyla; Camelidae.
AGGGGUGUAGCUCAAAAUGGUAGAGUGCGUGCUUAGCAUGCACGAGGUCCUGGGUUCAAUCCCUAGUACCUCCA